AGCGAACGCUGGCGGCAGGCUUAACACAUGCAAGUCGAGCGGGCGUAGCAAUACGUCAGCGGCAGACGGGUGAGUAACGCGUGGGAACGUACCUUUUGGUUCGGAACAACUGAGGGAAACUUCAGCUAAUACCGGAUAAGCCCUUACGGGGAAAGAUUUAUCGCCGAAAGAUCGGCCCGCGUCUGAUUAGCUAGUUGGUGAGGUAACGGCUCACCAAGGCGACGAUCAGUAGCUGGUCUGAGAGGAUGAUCAGCCACAUUGGGACUGAGACACGGCCCAAACUCCUACGGGAGGCAGCAGUGGGGAAUAUUGGACAAUGGGCGCAAGCCUGAUCCAGCCAUGCCGCGUGAGUGAUGAAGGCCCUAGGGUUGUAAAGCUCUUUUGUGCGGGAAGAUAAUGACGGUACCGCAAGAAUAAGCCCCGGCUAACUUCGUGCCAGCAGCCGCGGUAAUACGAAGGGGGCUAGCGUUGCUCGGAAUCACUGGGCGUAAAGGGUGCGUAGGCGGGUCUUUAAGUCAGGGGUGAAAUCCUGGAGCUCAACUCCAGAACUGCCUUUGAUACUAAGGAUCUUGAGUUCGGGAGAGGUGAGUGGAACUGCGAGUGUAGAGGUGAAAUUCGUAGAUAUUCGCAAGAACACCAGUGGCGAAGGCGGCUCACUGGCCCGAUACUGACGCUGAGGCACGAAAGCGUGGGGAGCAAACAGG
This 704-nucleotide ribosomal RNA is filed under the name uncultured Bradyrhizobiaceae bacterium. RNAcentral describes it as "bacterial SSU rRNA". It matches the Rfam family "Bacterial small subunit ribosomal RNA", at positions 28 to 776 of the family's 1533-position model. Lineage: Bacteria; Pseudomonadati; Pseudomonadota; Alphaproteobacteria; Hyphomicrobiales; Nitrobacteraceae. The record is from RNAcentral.